AACUUGAAUGUUGAGUUUGUGUAUAUUAGGGUAAUAAUGCAUUGAAUGGAUAUAUGGAUGUUUAUUGUAUUGUAUUGAAAAUAUUAGGUAAGUUCGUGUAACUUGAAUUAUAUUCUUAAAUGCUUGAGAUUGUAUGUUAUUGAUGUGAAUAUGAUUUGAGUGUUCAUUGUAUGAAAAUUAAUGAAACAUUGAUAUAUUUGAUAAAAUGGGAAGAAAUCCCGAUUGAAUGAAAGGAAAA
Gossypium arboreum is the source of this 238-nucleotide long non-coding RNA. RefSeq lists it as uncharacterized. The transcript has 2 exons. The record is from RefSeq and is a predicted model, not a curated record. NCBI's taxonomy places the organism in Eukaryota, Viridiplantae, Streptophyta, Magnoliopsida, Malvales, Malvaceae.